CCUACGGGUGGCAGCAGUGAGGAAUAUUGGUCAAUGGCCGAGAGGCUGAACCAGCCAAGUCGCGUGAGGGAAGAAUGUCCUAUGGAUUGUAAACAUCUUUUGUCAGGGAGCAAAGUCAACCACGUGUGAGCGUUGGAGAGUACCUGAAGAAAAAGCAUAGGCUAACUCCGUGCCAGCAGCCGCGGCACUGCGGGGGAUGCGAGCGUUAUCCGGAUUGAUUGGGUUAAAAGGGUACGUAGGCGGGUUAUCAAGUCAGCGGUAAAAUCGAGGAGCUAAACUCCAUCCAGCCGUUGAAACUGAUGAUCUUGAGUGUGCGAGAGGUAUGCGGAAUGCGUGGUGUAGCGGUGAAAUGCAUAGAUAUCACGCAGAACUCCGAUUGCGAAGGCAGCAUACCGGCGCCCGACUGACGCUGAGGCGCGAAAGCGUGGGGAUCGAACAGGAUUAGAUACCCCAGUAGUC
RNAcentral lists this ribosomal RNA (459 nucleotides) under uncultured bacterium. Its description in RNAcentral is "partial 16S ribosomal RNA". It matches the Rfam family "Bacterial small subunit ribosomal RNA", at positions 338 to 795 of the family's 1533-position model. The record is from RNAcentral.